RNAcentral lists this non-coding RNA (28 nucleotides) under Homo sapiens (human). Lineage: Eukaryota; Metazoa; Chordata; Mammalia; Primates; Hominidae. The record is from RNAcentral.
UAAAGAAUGUGACAAGGUCUUUGGGCGC